Long non-coding RNA from Zalophus californianus (California sea lion), 410 nucleotides. RefSeq lists it as uncharacterized. Lineage: Eukaryota; Metazoa; Chordata; Mammalia; Carnivora; Otariidae. The transcript is spliced from 3 exons. The record is from RefSeq and is a predicted model, not a curated record.
GACUGAAUAACACAAGGUUGUGAACAAUAUCAACAUAACAGAAAGCAUUCAGAGUAACAAUUCAACAUCUAGAUGAAUUUGUAGUGAUGAAGGAUCUAAAAGUUAGGCAACAGUUAUCUGUGGUCAACAGCAGUCCAGAAGCAGAUGAUCCUCCCUCUGACUUACCACCAUAAGGCCAAGAAGACUACAUCACAAUGAUUUGGUCAUUCCCCUCAAGUCCUGUCAUCACAUAGAUCCAAGCCACAUUUACAGUAUCUAUCAGUCAUUCAUGUAGCAUGGCUCUGCUGGAUGGAGGAGAGAUUGCCUGUUCACCAUUCCUGAACUUCAGUUUGUGAGGAGGGCAUUUUUUCCAGACAAUUUGAAACAGUCUGUAAUUCUUUUCUUGCCUGAAAACAAUUCAAUAAAAUUGC